UUCUGGCUCAGAACGAACGCUGGCGGCGCGUCUUAAGCAUGCAAGUCGAACGGCAAGAGGUAGCAAUACCUCCUAGAGUGGCGGACUGGUGAGUAACACGUGGGUGACAUACCCUUCAGAUGGGGAUAGCUAUUAGAAAUAGUAGAUAAUACCGAAUACGAGCACAGGGGUUAGAGAUCUGUGAGGAAAGGAGCUAAGGCUCCGCUGAAGGAAUGGCCUGCGGCCCAUUAGCUAGUUGGUGAGGUAAGAGCCCACCAAGGCGAUGAUGGGUAUCCGGCCUUAGAGGGUGAACGGACACAUUGGGACUGAGAUACGGCCCAGACUCCUACGGGAGGCAGCAGCUAAGAAUAUUCCGCAAUGGACGAAAGUCUGACGGAGCGACGCCGCGUGGAUGAAGAAGGCCGGAAGGUUGUAAAAUCCUUUUGAAACUGAAGAAUAAGCGUUGUAGGGAAUGACAGCGUGGUGACAGUAGGUUUUGAAUAAGCAACGGCUAAUUACGUGCCAGCCGCUGC
Molecule: ribosomal RNA, 512 nt
Filed under: uncultured bacterium
Lineage: Bacteria
Description: bacterial SSU rRNA
Rfam family: Bacterial small subunit ribosomal RNA
Source: RNAcentral